UAUAAUAAUUCUAUACUUGUUUGAAUAAUUUUUCUUUUAGAAAGAUUUGACAAAAAUAAAAACAAGAAAAUCAUAAACCGAUAUUUCCAUUUUAACUAAGUAAAUUACCCCUUUAUUUCUCCUCAUUCACAUUUUAAUUAAGGAAACUUGCUCCUCAUUUCCCCUCUCAAAACCUCCUAUAAACUUCUACUGCUUUCCCUUGCCUUCCCCUUCACUCACGACACUCAGACCAAAAAAAUAAAAAUAAAAAUUCGCUGCUUCCUCCCGCCGCUGUUGCUGCCUCCCCUGCGCCGCUGCUGCCUCCCCUGAAACCCACCACCGCCGACCUCGCUGCAGCCCCGUACCACCACAACCGGAGAGGACUUCGUAGAGGGUGACUUCUAACCUUAAAGUGGCCAAUCAAUUUGUGUACUCAAGAUUCAUCACAGGUUUUUGCAUAAACUGUCUUGCAUCAGGGUGAUGGGAUUUGAGUGGAGAGUUGGUUAACCAGUUAGCUUAUUUCAAAACACAGAUUGAAUUUCAUUUUGGUGUUGGUUCCAUUACUUCCUAUUUUAUUGGAUUUUGAAUAAGGGUCGUUAUGGUUCCAACUUGUAAGACUGAGUUUUGACUUCCAGUUUUGAAACUUAUAUUCUUUUUAAAACUAAGUUAGUUUUCCGCUGCUGAUUUCUGAAACUAGCCUUAACGUUUGAACACGUGGCGGUAGCACUCCAAUAAUUCUCUUACAGGUUAUUCAGGUUUCACAGGUUGUCACAGGUUUUUACAGGUUUUCUUUUAGAGAGAAUUAUUGGGGUGUUACAGAAAGUGGCAGUUAUGGAGAAGGAGAUCGAAGGAGAGAGACGGAGUGUUAGGAAAGUGUUGAGAAAAAGCUCCGAAGUCCCUUCAAUGGAAAAAUUCGAGUACGCUACAAUGGAGGAGAGAGAGAGGCACAUCAGAUGAGAAGAGGAAAAGAGCAAGGAAAUGAUGAAGAAGAAGACGCGCGUUAUAAACCGGGCUUUUUUUUUUAAUGGCACCGGUUCAAACCGGU
Molecule: long non-coding RNA, 1024 nt
Organism: Chenopodium quinoa (quinoa)
Lineage: Eukaryota; Viridiplantae; Streptophyta; Magnoliopsida; Caryophyllales; Amaranthaceae
Exons: 3
Source: RefSeq, a predicted model, not a curated record